UGGCACCUCUCGGUUUCUAUCUAGGGAGAUGGGUUAAAGCAUCCGUCGUUGAUCUCUCUAACAUGCGCUAGGAUGGAGUGGCUCCCAUUCAUCCUUUAAGAAUCAAGUUGGUCGGGGAGUUGUCGCAAGACUGAACUUAAGGAAUGACGGAAGGCACCACCCAGAGUGGAGCUGCGGCUUAAUUGACUCAACACCGGGAAACUACCCAGUCCAGACAUAGUAAGGAUGACAGAUGAUAGCUCUUUCUUGAUUCUAUGGGUGGUGGUGCAUGGCCGUUCUUAGUUGGGGAGUGAUUUGUCUGGUUAAUUCCGAUAACGACGAGACCAUAAACAGCUAACUAGACUCUUUUAUUCUAUAGAGUUUAUCUUCUUAGAGGGACUAUGUAAAACAAAGUACAGGGAAGCCUCGAGGCAAUAACAGGUCGGAUGAUGCCCUUAUAUGUCCUUGGUCUUCUCUUCUUUCUACACUAAUGCAUACAACAAGUGCCUAACCAGACAUGGCAUGGCAAUCUCGAAUAUGCAUCGUGAUAGGGAUAGAUCAUUGCAAUUAUAGAUCUUGAACGAGGAAUUCCUAGUAAGUGCAAGUCAUCAUCUUGCAUUGAUUAUGUCCCUGCCCUUUGUACACACCGCCCGUCGCUCCUACCGAUACCGAUGAUCCGGUGAACCUUUGGACCUGUAUGGGGAAGAUAAGUAAACCAAAUCACGAGAGAAUCCGAACAUUCGCGAGGAAGGAGCU
RNAcentral lists this ribosomal RNA (735 nucleotides) under uncultured rumen protozoa. RNAcentral describes it as "bacterial SSU rRNA". The stretch from base 114 to 735 matches the Rfam family "Eukaryotic small subunit ribosomal RNA", at positions 1118 to 1787 of the family's 1831-position model. The record is from RNAcentral.